AAAAAAUUAGUUAACUAAUAACAUUAAAAUGUCAUUUUAAAAUCAUUAAUUUAAUUUAAUAUUUUUUU
This 68-nucleotide transfer RNA is filed under the name Cleptes metallicorpus. RNAcentral describes it as "tRNA-Asp". The record is from RNAcentral. Lineage: Eukaryota; Metazoa; Arthropoda; Insecta; Hymenoptera; Chrysididae.